Molecule: transfer RNA, 87 nt
Filed under: Clostridiales bacterium
Lineage: Bacteria; Bacillati; Bacillota; Clostridia; Eubacteriales
Also listed under: 2 other names
Description: tRNA-Leu
Rfam family: tRNA
About the family: Transfer RNA (tRNA) molecules are approximately 80 nucleotides in length. Their secondary structure includes four short double-helical elements and three loops (D, anti-codon, and T loops).
Source: RNAcentral
GCCGGUGUGGUGGAAUUGGCAGACGCCCGGGAUUCAAAAUCCCGUGUUCGCAAGAACGUGCGGGUUCGACCCCCGCCACCGGCACCA